CCGGCGACGCGGUCCCUCCGGGGGGCUGUGCGGUUGGUGAUCACACUCCGUCCGGUUCGGGUCCGGGUCGGUGGC
Molecule: transfer RNA, 75 nt
Filed under: Streptomyces scabiei
Lineage: Bacteria; Bacillati; Actinomycetota; Actinomycetes; Kitasatosporales; Streptomycetaceae
Description: tRNA-Thr
Source: RNAcentral